RNAcentral lists this ribosomal RNA (245 nucleotides) under uncultured bacterium. Its description in RNAcentral is "partial 16S ribosomal RNA". It matches the Rfam family "Bacterial small subunit ribosomal RNA", at positions 15 to 240 of the family's 1533-position model. The record is from RNAcentral.
GAUCCUGGCUCAGGACGAACGCUGGCGGCGCGCUUAACACAUGCAAGUCGAGCGAUGAAAUUUUGACAGAUCCCUUCGGGGUGAAGACAAAAUGGAUUAGCGGCGGACGGGUGAGUAACACGUGAGUAACCUGCCUUAGACAUUGGGAUAGCCUCGGGAAACCGGGAUUAAUACCAAAUAAAAUCAUAGGUGCACAUGGCACUAAUGAUCAAAACUCCGGUGGUCUAAGAUGGACUCGCGUCCCA